Molecule: RNA transcript, 1985 nt
Organism: Rosa chinensis
Lineage: Eukaryota; Viridiplantae; Streptophyta; Magnoliopsida; Rosales; Rosaceae
Exons: 7
Source: RefSeq, a predicted model, not a curated record
CUUAUGAGUUUUCAUCUAGUCCGCCAGCACAUAACGAUCGAUAAUCCAAUUUUUUUUUUUUGUUUGAAAGGACUCAUAAUGCAGUGAGGAUUGCAUAAUCGAUGGGUAAGAUAAGAUUGUUCUGAUCGUGAUCUAUUCUGUUUGGGUCCAAUUCAUUGCGUCGGUAGCAGGAGGACAUUCUGUUGGCUUUUUCGACUCUGGUGAACAGCGGCAGUUCAAUUCAUUCAGCGUUGGUUGGUGGUGGUUCUAGCAGUGGGUCUUCAAAUAAUCUGGUGAAACCAGGGGUGACCCGAUUAAGUCUCGAUGGUUUGGACAGCUUUCCGGAUAAGUCGACCUCCAAAUGCCAGGUCGGAGGUGGCGGUACAUGCAGAUGGUUCUUCCUCUUACUGUGGGGGUUGGCCGCCAUAAGAAGUUACAGAGGCAAAUGAUGACACAAUGUCGGGCGACGGUGCGGGCUGCAAUAGUGGCCUGAUUGGCAACGUUGAAAAUUGUGGCGGUGACUUAGACUUGGAGUAUCCAAUACCUUCUACUAGCCAAAGAACAGAUGUUGGUUCUGAAGUACUAAUGAUCAUUGGGUGUCUGUUACUUCUGGAAGCGAGGAUUAUUCUUUUAAACAUGUGCAAAAACAUUAGAGAAGCUGGAGGAUAAGUCCGAAGUUGUCAGGGUAUACUAAAUUUCCUAUGCAAGAUUAAUUUUUCAGUGGUAUCUUCUGAAUAGUAUGUGAUUCAUAUUGUAGUGCUAAAAAGGUUAUUUGAUGAUUAUUUAGGCAUAGAAGGAAAGUGUUCUCCAUCAAAUAAGUGAGGCAAAGCCAUUGCUUGCUUCACCAGAUAAGAACUCCGAAGCAUUGGCUUUUAUCAUUGAUGAGAAUUCACUCGCUCACACAUGCUUCACCUCUAUCUCAAAAGUCCAAGUCAGUUAGCAACGACAAAGAAGCAAACAAUAACUUGGUCUCAUGUGUGUCAGAGGUUUGCUCAGAUAUAAACAAGCCGAAUGGACAGUUUAUUUUACCCAGCAAUCGAAUGAAUGUGAUGACAUUUAUAUCCUCACGUCCUAAUAGCACAUUUAUAUUCCGUUGAAGUCAGUUAUAAGAGCAACUUUACCAGCCUCGCCAAAAUUCAUUCUACGCUAUUUUAGCUAGCGUGAGAAGCUGAAAAUAGCAAAAUCAGGCCUCCAGCGGACUCGCUAUAUUGUUCGCCAAAAUGGUUUUCGCUACUACGCUCGCCAAAUCUAGGAGAGGAGAGAGAAAUUCGAGACGCUCGCUAUCUCCUCGAACGGGAAAAUUUGUUCAAAUUCAAACCUCUAGAUUGUCCUUAAGGAAGAGAGACUCUCUCACUUGUUCAAAGACUGCACUGCCAUUCAAUGUAUCUGGAACUCCUUCACUAUACCUGGUUAUGUCAGGAUAACUUUCAACAUGGACUGGGGAGGAUGGCUCAUGGCUCAUCUGCAUUGCUCAGCAAACUGUGAACUUGGCUUCCAUUGGAAUACUCUGAAGACGCUGGUUUAUCACAUGUUUUUGAUUCUGGCCAACUCCCUUCUAAUUCAUUCAUCUCUAAUGCUGCUAAUGAAUGGUUCAAUGCUCAGGCCAUAUGGUGAGUUACCUAGAACCUAUUAUGCUUAACCGGAAAAGACCUCCUCCCAGUGAGUAUAACUAGAUGUGGAUGGGCAUGCAUGGCAACUAUGGUAUUUUGUAUUAUAGAUUAGUGCAACAGGGUCUUGGCGAGGAGACUCCUAAUUGCGAGCAGCAGUAAUAAUCGUAUAUGAUGUAUGGUGGAAUUCAGGCGAUGUUGUAUCACCCUCUUAAUUUAGACCUUCUGGCCCUUGUUCUAGUGCUUCUGCUGGUAAAUGUUCCCCCUCUUUUUUUUGUCUGGACCUGCUUCAUGUUGUUAGUGAAACAUACAAAUGGACAGCAGAGUAGAAAUUUACAUUUCAGUGUUGAUGAUCACAGUGGAAUGUUAUAAAUAUAUCUUCAUUGACCCUUUUCUCUC